Molecule: ribosomal RNA, 433 nt
Filed under: uncultured bacterium
Lineage: Bacteria
Description: partial 16S ribosomal RNA
Rfam family: Bacterial small subunit ribosomal RNA
Source: RNAcentral
AACGAACGCUGGCGGCAGGCCUAACACAUGCAAGUCGAGCGAGGACUUCGGUCCUAGCGGCGGACGGGUGAGUAACGCGUGGGAACGUGCCCUUUGCUUCGGAAUAGCCCUGGGAAACUGGGAGUAAUACCGGAUGAGCCCUUUGGGGGAAAGAUUUAUCGGCGAAGGAUCGGCCCGCGUUGGAUUAGGUAGUUGGUGGGGUAAUGGCCUACCAAGCCGACGAUCCAUAGCUGGUUUGAGAGGAUGAUCAGCCACACUGGGACUGAGUCACGGCCCAGACUCCUACGGGAGGCAGCAGUGGGGAAUCUUAGACAAUGGGGGAAACCCUGAUCUAGCCAUGCCGCGUGAGCGAUGAAGGCCUUAGGGUUGUAAAGCUCUUUCAGCUGGGAAGAUAAUGACGGUACCAGCAGAAGAAGCCCCGGCUAACUCCGUG